AUUGAACGCUGGCGGCAGGCCUAACACAUGCAAGUCGAACGGUAGCACAGAGAGCUUGCUCUCGGGUGACGAGUGGCGGACGGGUGAGUAACGUCUGGGAAACUGCCCGAUGGAGGGGGAUAACUACUGGAAACGGUAGCUAAUACCGCAUAACGUCGCAAGACCAAAGUGGGGGACCUUCGGGCCUCACACCAUCGGAUGUGCCCAGAUGGGAUUAGCUAGUAGGUGGGGUAAUGGCUCACCUAGGCGACGAUCCCUAGCUGGUCUGAGAGGAUGAACAGCCACACUGGAACUGAGACACGGUCCAGACUCCUACGGGAGGCAGCAGUGGGGAAUAUUGCACAAUGGGCGCAAGCCUGAUGCAGCCAUGCCGCGUGUAUGAAGAAGGCCUUCGGGUUGUAAAGUACUUUCAGCGGGGAGGAAGGCGGUGAAGUUAAUAACUUCACCGAUUGACGUUACCCGCAGAAGAAGCACCGGCUAACUCCGUGCCAGCAGCCGCAGUAA
Molecule: ribosomal RNA, 504 nt
Filed under: uncultured bacterium
Lineage: Bacteria
Description: partial 16S ribosomal RNA
Rfam family: Bacterial small subunit ribosomal RNA
Source: RNAcentral